AUACGUAGGUGGCGAGCGUUGUCCGGAAUUACUGGGUGUAAAGGGCGCGUAGGCGGGGCUGCAAGUCAGAUGUGAAAUCCUGGGGCUCAACCCUGGGGCUGCAUUUGAAACUGUAGUUCUUGAGUGCAGGAGAGGGAAGUGGAAUUCCUAGUGUAGCGGUGAAAUGCGUAGAUAUUAGGAGGAACACCAGUGGCGAAGGCGGCUUCCUGGACUGUAACUGACGCUGAGGCGCGAAAGCGUGGGGAGCAAACAGGAUUAGAUACCCUGGUAGUCCACGCUGUAAACGAUGGAUACUAGGUGUAGGGGGUUUGAAUACCUUCUGUGCCGGAGUUAACACAAUAAGUAUCCCACCUGGGGAGUACGGCCGCAAGGUUGAA
Molecule: ribosomal RNA, 377 nt
Filed under: uncultured bacterium
Lineage: Bacteria
Description: bacterial SSU rRNA
Rfam family: Bacterial small subunit ribosomal RNA
Source: RNAcentral